This is a non-coding RNA of Erinaceus europaeus (western European hedgehog), 106 nucleotides long. The record is from Rfam. Lineage: Eukaryota; Metazoa; Chordata; Mammalia; Eulipotyphla; Erinaceidae.
GUCUAUGGCCAUACCACCCUGAACAUGCUUGAUCUCAUCUGAUCUUGGAAGCUAAGCAGGGCCGAGCCUGGUUAGUAUUUGGAUGGAAGACUAUGUCACAUUAAUA